CCUGCACAGCAUACUGAAUUCAAAUGCCCCUUUCCCACUUGCACCUCAGGGUUGUAGGUUUUUCUCAGAGCAUCUUGAACAGAUAAUCAGAGCGUGCUGACAUUCAGCAGUAAUCAAUUAGCGCCUACUUUAGAUUAAAUUGAGAAUAUGUAAAUUAGGCUCCUCAUCAGGCACCACAGUCAACAUUUCAGAGACACUCACUGUGCUCUGAACAUAUCAAACAGAUGAAAUGCAGAAGUUGUUCCAAAUCCUGUUCCAAAAUGGGAGGCCAGUGCCACAGCAUCCACACCUACUGUUUAGCUAAGUUUCUGCUGGACGCAGCCCAGAAGUCCUAUGUUUGUACGUAUUCAAUGGAAAAGACCUGCCAAUGGAAGAGGAACCGCCUCUUUCUUGAGACACUGAGCAAGGAGCUUGGACGCACCCCCAGCUGAUCACAUUUGGAGAAAGAGACAAUAACUGGACUCCUCCUAGAGCAGAUAUUGUAGUUGGUGCUCAUUAAAAAGAGCCUCUAACCUGUAGAUAAGCACUGCCUUGUGCCAACCCAUCACUCAAACGUCCCACCUUUGCCGCAACCUUUCCGUCUGGCUCACGCAGAACCGCGAUAAGCCGCCGCUUUCCGCCCCACAGGGACGGGG
Molecule: long non-coding RNA, 635 nt
Organism: Pezoporus occidentalis (night parrot)
Lineage: Eukaryota; Metazoa; Chordata; Aves; Psittaciformes; Psittacidae
Exons: 4
Source: RefSeq, a predicted model, not a curated record